Molecule: ribosomal RNA, 484 nt
Filed under: uncultured bacterium
Lineage: Bacteria
Description: partial 16S ribosomal RNA
Rfam family: Bacterial small subunit ribosomal RNA
Source: RNAcentral
AUUGAACGCUGGCGGCAGGCCUAACACACGCAAGUCGAGCGGAUGAAGGGAGCUUGCUCCUGGAUUCAGCGGCGGACGGGUGAGUAAUGCCUAGGAAUCUGCCUGGUAGUGGGGGAUAACGUCCGGAAACGGGCGCUAAUACCGCAUACGUCCUGAGGGAGAAAGUGGGGGAUCUUCGGACCUCACGCUAUCAGAUGAGCCUAGGUCGGAUUAGCUAGUUGGUGGGGUAAAGGCCUACCAAGGCGACGAUCCGUAACUGGUCUGAGAGGAUGAUCAGUCACACUGGAACUGGGACACGGUCCAGACUCCUACGGGAGGCAGCAGUGGGGAAUAUUGGACAAUGGGCGAAAGCCUGAUCCAGCCAUGCCGCGUGUGUGAAGAAGGUCUUCGGAUUGUAAAGCACUUUAAGUUGGGAGGAAGGGCAGUAAGUUAAUACCUUGCUGUUUUGACGUUACCAACAGAAUAAGCACCGGCUAACUUCGUG